Molecule: ribosomal RNA, 1465 nt
Filed under: uncultured bacterium
Lineage: Bacteria
Description: bacterial SSU rRNA
Rfam family: Bacterial small subunit ribosomal RNA
Source: RNAcentral
AGAGUUUGAUCCUGGCUCAGGACGAACGUUGGCGGCGUGCCUAACACAUGCAAGUCGAGCGAAGGACUUCGGUUCUUAGCGGCGGACGGGUGAGUAACACGUGAGUAACCUGCCUUAUAGAGGGGGAUAGCCCUCCGAAAGGAGGAUUAAUACCGCAUAACGUAUAAUUAGCACAUGCUAAAUAUACCAAAGGAGUAAUCCACUAUAAGAUGGACUCGCGGCGCAUUAGCUAGUUGGUGGGGUAAAGGCCUACCAAGGCAGCGAUGCGUAGCCGACCUGAGAGGGUAAUCGGCCACAUUGGAACUGAGAGACGGUCCAGACUCCUACGGGAGGCAGCAGUGGGGAAUAUUGCACAAUGGGCGGAAGCCUGAUGCAGCAACGCCGCGUGAGUGAAGAAGGUCUUCGGAUUGUAAAGCUCUGUCAUCUGGGACGAUAAUGACGGUACCAGAGGAGGAAGCCACGGCUAACUACGUGCCAGCAGCCGCGGUAAUACGUAGGUGGCGAGCGUUGUCCGGAUUUACUGGGCGUAAAGGAUGCGUAGGCGGAUAUGUAAGUCAGAUGUGAAAACCCCAGGCUUAACUUGGGGACUGCAUUUGAAACUGUGUAUCUGGAGUGCAGGAGAGGAAAGUGGAAUUCCUAGUGUAGCGGUGAAAUGCGUAGAGAUUAGGAAGAACAUCAGUGGCGAAGGCGGCUUUCUGGACUGUAACUGACGCUGAUGCAUGAAAGCGUGGGGAGCAAACAGGAUUAGAUACCCUGGUAGUCCACGCUGUAAACGAUGAAUACUAGGUGUGGGAGGUAUCGACCCCUUCCGUGCCGCAGCCAACGCAAUAAGUAUUCCGCCUGGGGAGUACGGUCGCAAGAUUAAAACUCAAAGGAAUUGACGGGGGCCCGCACAAGCAGCGGAGCAUGUGGUUUAAUUCGAAGCAACGCGAAGAACCUUACCUGGACUUGACAUCUCCUGAAUAGCUAAGAGAUUAGCGAAGUUCUUCGGAACAGGAAGACAGGUGGUGCAUGGUUGUCGUCAGCUCGUGUCGUGAGAUGUUGGGUUAAGUCCCGCAACGAGCGCAACCCUUAUAGAUAGUUGCCAUCAUUAAGUUGGGCACUCUAGAUAGACUGCCCGGGUUAACCGGGAGGAAGGUGGGGAUGACGUCAAAUCAUCAUGCCCUUUAUGUCCAGGGCAACACACGUGCUACAAUGGUGAGAACAAAGAGACGCGAAGCCGCGAGGCAGAGCAAAACCAGAAAACUCAUCCCAGUUCGGAUUGCAGGCUGCAACUCGCCUGCAUGAAGCCGGAGUUGCUAGUAAUCGCGAAUCAGCAUGUCGCGGUGAAUACGUUCCCGGGCCUUGUACACACCGCCCGUCACACCAUGAGAGCCAGUAACACCCGAAGUCCAUGAGGUAACCGAAAGGAGCCAGUGGCCGAAGGUGGGACCGGUGAUUGGGGUGAAGUCGUAACAAGGUAACC